Molecule: ribosomal RNA, 497 nt
Filed under: uncultured bacterium
Lineage: Bacteria
Description: partial 16S ribosomal RNA
Rfam family: Bacterial small subunit ribosomal RNA
Source: RNAcentral
GAUGAACGCUGGCGGCGUGCCUAAUACAUGCAAGUCGAGCGAACGGACGAGAAGCUUGCUUCUCUGAUGUUAGCGGCGGACGGGUGAGUAACACGUGGAUAACCUACCUAUAAGACUGGGAUAACUUCGGGAAACCGUAGCUAAUACCGGAUAAUAUUUUGAACCGCAGGGUUCAAAAGUGAAAGACGGUCUUGCUGUCACUUAUAGAUGGAUCCGCGCUGCAUUAGCUAGUUGGUAAGGUAACGGCUUACCAAGGCAACGAUGCAUAGCCGACCUGAGAGGGUGAUCGGCCACACUGGAACUGAGACACGGUCCAGACUCCUACGGGAGGCAGCAGUAGGGAAUCUUCCGCAAUGGGCGCAAGCCUGACGGAGCCACGCCGCGUGAGUGAUGAAGGUCUUCGGAUCGUAAAGCUCUGUUAUUAGGGAAGAACAUAUGUGUAAGUAACUGUGCCCAUCUUGACGGUACCUAAUCAGAAAGCCCCGGCUAACUACGUG